GACGAACGCUGGCGGCGUGCUUAACACAUGCAAGUCGAACGGUGAAGCGCCUUCCUUUUUGGUGGGUGUGGAUGAGUGGCGAACGGGUGAGUAACACGUGAGUAACCUGCCCCCUUCUUCUGGAUAACCGCAUGAAAGUGUGGCUAAUACGGGAUAUUCUGGGUCUGUCGCAUGAUGGGUCUGGGAAAGAUAUUGUUUCGGUGGGGGAUGGGCUCGCGGCCUAUCAGCUUGUUGGCGGGGUGAUGGCCUACCAAGGCGGUGACGGGUAGCCGGCCUGAGAGGGUGGACGGUCACACUGGGACUGAGACACGGACCAGACUCCUACGGGAGGCAGCAGUGGGGAAUAUUGCACAAUGGGCGCAAGCCUGAUGCAGCGACGCCGCGUGAGGGAUGGAGGCCUUCGGGUUGUGAACCUCUUUCGCCAGUGAAGCAGGCCUGCCUCGUUUGUGGGUGGGUUGACGGUAGCUGGAUAAGAAGCGCCGGCUAACUACGUG
Molecule: ribosomal RNA, 494 nt
Filed under: uncultured bacterium
Lineage: Bacteria
Description: partial 16S ribosomal RNA
Rfam family: Bacterial small subunit ribosomal RNA
Source: RNAcentral